Long non-coding RNA from Coccinella septempunctata (seven-spotted ladybird), 1232 nucleotides. RefSeq lists it as uncharacterized. The record is from RefSeq and is a predicted model, not a curated record. Lineage: Eukaryota; Metazoa; Arthropoda; Insecta; Coleoptera; Coccinellidae. The transcript is spliced from 2 exons.
AGUGUUUGGUGGCCAGUGGAUGUGGAUGAAAGAAAUCUGUAAUCUAUGACAGAACUCAAGUCAGCUGAUUUCCGUCAUUCCGUCUGAGUUUGUUUUGUUUAAUGCAAAAAGUUAGAGUAUUUCGAGAUUUUUGUUUAUUCCCCGAAAAAGAAAUUGUUUGCUUUCGAACACAUGAUCCCAUGCCCAGAAGAAACAAGAAAGACUCAAAUGGCUUUCAAGUCUGGAUGGCUUUAAACAAUAAAUGCCACACAAAAGUUGUAGGGACCAGGGAUUCAAGUUUUUGAGAACUAGAAGUCUGAAUCUAGGGGAUCCUCCAGGAAAUAUGUUUGCUGCUUUUCGAACUGUUAUUAUUACAUCAUAUAAAACUGCAAUAAUUUGAUAUUUGACCAUUUCUAAAUCUAACAAGAGUUAUGAAAAUGAUGAGAAUGGCAUAUUGUACCGCCAUUUGGACGUAUUGCAUCGAUAACCCCUAAGUUGAAAUUAUUUUUAAAGUCGCAUGUAACAUUUUUCUGGUUUACAUAUGAAGAACAUGUGGACUCGGUUGUUCAUGAUUAAUUGGAUUAUGGUAUGUAUUUCUCUAAUAAUUGUAAAAAAGUAUUACAAUAUUAUACAAUAUGAUAUGACCACAUAGAAAUAAAGCCUGAAUCCAUCAAAUUCAGUUAUUCAUGUAUAUCAAAGUUCAGUUUUUGUGUUUAGUUUGGCCCAUAUUAUUUAUCCAUUCAACCCUUUAAAAGAUCAGUUCCUUUAUAUAAUGUAUCCUGUACAAUAUUGUAAUUAUAGUUGUUAUUGUCAAAUAUUUCUAUUAUAUAUUCAUUUCGGUUAAAUUUCUGUAUAUUCUUUCUAUACAAAUGUAAUUUUCUAAUAUUUUCCUGAAUAUAUAUUUAUUUCAGUUGAUUUUCUAUUUUAUUACACUAUUUCAUGAUUCGUCUAAAAAUCUAUAAUUACCAAGUUCGAAAAAUACACUCCAUCGACUCUCUCUACUCCUAUCGUUCUUUUAAUCGAAUCUUUCCCACUAAACUCGAUAAAAAGAACAAUAGGAGUAGAGAGAGGCGACGGAGUGUAUUUUUCGAACUUGGUAAAUAUUAUUUCAAAAACGAGGCCGUUAUUUGAAUUUCCCGCGCAAAUUUUUUCGGAUUAGUUUCUCCAGUAGCCAAGGGGGGCGCCACAAAACGUGUCGCCCAUGAAUAACACUGAAUUGACUACUCUCCUCUUUCCCUUUCUCUAUGUAGAGA